UGUAACCACAAAAUUAGCUACUAAGUUGUGUACUUCAAAUUCACGUCAAUCAUUUAUCUUGAGAGUUGAGAUCUGGUUAAUUGGUUUCUUAAUACACAUUGUAUGUUAUCUCAUGUUAUUUGUUCCUCUGUAGGGCUUCUCCCAAAAUCUUUUCAUCCGCUAAUGAUUCCAGUGCCUCUAGAAAGGUACAUAUAUGAGAUGUCUGUCAAAAUCAUUGCCUUUAGUAAUUAAAUGAUACACCUGGUUUUUUUUUACUGCACCAUCAUAUUAUGGCCAAGUAUCAACCUUGUACAAGACGACAGAAAACAAUGUUAAUGCUUAUUUGAACAUUUUUCCCCAUAACAAAUGGUAUUUUGGCAAUAUUAAGGAAGCCAGUAGCAGAUAUGGUUGAUUUUUUCCUUAAAGAAAAUAUGGCAGCUGCUAUAAAUAGGUACUUAGCACUCAGUAUGAUAUUUAAAUAAUGGUUUCUUAGGGUGAUACUUAAUCCCGUAGAUUACCCCAAGUUUGCAGCACAUUGUUUAUAAAUUUCCAGAUAUCAUGAUUCUGUAUACACUUCGUUUUUUCCAUUGCUAACCCAAGUUUGCAGCAUAGCCUGCAACUAUUAUUGCGUACAUCUUUUUCUUGACAUAGAUAUGAAUCAUUCCAAAUCAAUAUCCAGACUAGCAUCACAUUGUCGAUGUCCAUUUCUUUGUGUAGCCCUCAUCACGAAGCGAUGGACUAGCAAUCAUGUGGGAGGGGUAUAGAGAGACAUACACAAGUAACAUCUAGGAGAGAAAGAUCCAUUGCAUCUGAUGGUUUCCUAGAAAUGACAGAAUGUUGCCAUGUAGAAAUAUUGUGAAUCAGUUGCAGGUGAACGAUGGUUUGACCUUACCCAUUGCUUGCACAGUUUUAGUGGCAAAUUUGAUUAGCAUUCUGUAGGUUUACUACUGCAAAGUGAGAUCGCUAUUACUGUACACAUGUGCACGUGUAUAUGAGCACAUCUAACACUUCAUUCAAAAUACUUCUUGAUGUUCCUCCAAAAUUAUAAAUCUAACAAUACAAUUGGUAAGGAGAACAAGGGAUGCAUACAUAUUGAGUAAAGACCAUUGUUUAGCUGAUUAUCCAUACAUAGUGUUACCCUUCACACAUUUUACAUAUUCUUAUUCAGAGGAGGCGAAUGCACCAUUCCUUUUGUUAUUUUCGGAUAAUUGGUCUCAAACUAUUGUAUGCAACCAGGUAGAAGGAUGAAGGCAACCGCUCAAUCUCCAAUCUUUCAUUUGGUCUCAAAAGCCUACUGCCAUGAUCAGAUCAACUCAUUUGUGCCUUCCAAAAGAUCACCAUUGGAAUCAGAUGGAGGAGGCCACAUUUGGAGAGAGAAUUGUUCAAGGGAAAAUGAUUCCUCGCUGGCGCUUAAGCAAUCUGCCCGCCAUACUCAGUUCAUGCCGCGUCAAUUGAAGCUGCUUCCAGUGAUAUUGCUAAGAGUGUGCGAGCCAUCAUAAUAACCAAGUUUGUAACAGUAUGUAAGCUGCUCAUAGUAGUGCUAAGAGCGUGCAAGCCAUCAUAAUAGUGCAUUUUAAGAAGGUUGGUAAUGAA
Lolium rigidum is the source of this 1572-nucleotide long non-coding RNA. RefSeq lists it as uncharacterized. The record is from RefSeq and is a predicted model, not a curated record. NCBI's taxonomy places the organism in Eukaryota, Viridiplantae, Streptophyta, Magnoliopsida, Poales, Poaceae. The transcript has 2 exons.